This 701-nucleotide ribosomal RNA is filed under the name uncultured Alphaproteobacteria bacterium. Its description in RNAcentral is "bacterial SSU rRNA". It matches the Rfam family "Bacterial small subunit ribosomal RNA", at positions 1 to 749 of the family's 1533-position model. Lineage: Bacteria; Pseudomonadati; Pseudomonadota; Alphaproteobacteria. The record is from RNAcentral.
GCCCUUAGAGUUUGAUCAUGGCUCAGAACGAACGCUGGCGGCAGGCUUAACACAUGCAAGUCGAGCGAAGCCUUCGGGCUUAGCGGCGGACGGGUGAGUAACGCGUGGGAACGUGCCCCUUGGUACGGAAUAGUCCCUGGAAACGGGGUUUAAUACCGUAUGAGCUCUUCGGAGGAAAGAUUUAUCGCCAAGGGAUCGGCCCGCGUUGGAUUAGGUAGUUGGUGGGGUAAUGGCCUACCAAGCCGACGAUCCAUAGCUGGUUUGAGAGGAUGAUCAGCCACACUGGGACUGAGACACGGCCCAGACUCCUACGGGAGGCAGCAGUGGGGAAUCUUAGACAAUGGGGGAAACCCUGAUCUAGCCAUGCCGCGUGAUCGAUGAAGGCCUUAGGGUUGUAAGGAUCUUUCGCUGGGGAAGAUAAUGACGGUACCCAGUAAAGAAGCCCCGGCUAACUCCGUGCCAGCAGCCGCGGUAAUACGGAGGGGGCUAGCGUUGUUCGGAAUUACUGGGCGUAAAGCGCGCGUAGGCGGACUGGAAAGUUGGGGGUGAAAUCCCGGGGCUCAACCCCGGAACUGCCUCCAAAACUGUCAGUCUGGAGUUCGAGAGAGGUGAGUGGAAUUGCGAGUGUAGAGGUGAAAUUCGUAGAUAUUCGCAGGAACACCAGUGGCGAAAGCGGCUCACUGGCUCGAUACUGACGCUGA